RNAcentral lists this ribosomal RNA (644 nucleotides) under uncultured bacterium. Its description in RNAcentral is "bacterial SSU rRNA". It matches the Rfam family "Bacterial small subunit ribosomal RNA", at positions 61 to 691 of the family's 1533-position model. The record is from RNAcentral.
GUCGAGGGGCAGCGGUGGUGAAGGCUUGCCUUUACCAGCCGGCGACCGGCGCACGGGUGAGUAACACGUAUGCAACCUGCCUGCCACAGCCGGAUAAUCGGGAGAAAUUCCGUCUAAUACGGCAUAAUGCAUCGACGGGACAUCCUGUUGGUGCCAAAGGUUGAUUCCGGUGGCGGAUGGGCAUGCGUCGCAUUAGUUAGUUGGCGGUGUAACGGACCACCAAGACGACGAUGCGUAGGGGUUCUGAGAGGAAGGUCCCCCACACUGGUACUGAGACACGGACCAGACUCCUACGGGAGGCAGCAGUGAGGAAUAUUGGUCAAUGGGCGGGAGCCUGAACCAGCCAAGUCGCGUGAGGGAUGACGGCCCUAUGGGUUGUAAACCUCUUUUGCCGGGGAGCAAAGUGCCGCACGUGUGCGGUUUGGAGAGUACCCGGAGAAAAAGCAUCGGCUAACUCCGUGCCAGCAGCCGCGGUAAUACGGAGGAUGCGAGCGUUAUCCGGAUUUAUUGGGUUUAAAGGGUGCGUAGGCGGACGCUUAAGUCAGCGGUAAAAUUGCGGGGCUCAACCUCGUCGAGCCGUUGAAACUGGGUGCCUUGAGUGGGCAAGAAGUACGCCGAAUGCGUGGUGUAGCGGUGAAAUGCAU